Molecule: ribosomal RNA, 524 nt
Filed under: uncultured bacterium
Lineage: Bacteria
Description: bacterial SSU rRNA
Rfam family: Bacterial small subunit ribosomal RNA
Source: RNAcentral
AGGACGAACGCUGGCGGCGUGCCUAAUACAUGCAAGUCGAACGGUCUUUCUAUGGAAGCUUGCUUCCACUGAGAAGAUAGUGGCGAACGGGUGAGUAACACGGUGGGUAACCUGCCCAUAAGAGGGGGAUAACAUCCGGAAACGGGUGCUAAUACCGCAUAGUUUUUCUUGAUCGCAUGAUCGAGAAAGGAAAGACGGCCUUUGUGCUGUCGCUUAUGGAUGGACCCGCGGCGUAUUAGUUAGUUGGUGAGGUAACGGCUCACCAAGACGAUGAUACGUAGCCGACCUGAGAGGGUGAUCGGCCACAUUGGGACUGAGACACGGCCCAAACUCCUACGGGAGGCAGCAGUAGGGAAUCUUCCGCAAUGGACGAAAGUCUGACGGAGCAACGCCGCGUGAGUGAAGGUAAAGGGUUUUCGGAUCGUAAAACUCUGUUGUCAGAGAAGAACAAGUUGGAGAGUAACUGCUCCAGCCUUGACGGUAUCUGACCAGAAAGCCACGGCUAACUACGUGCCAGCAGCCGC